UACGUAGGUGGCGAGCGUUAUCCGGAAUUAUUGGGCGUAAAGAGCGCGCAGGUGGUUGAUUAAGUCUGAUGUGAAAGCCCACGGCUUAACCGUGGAGGGUCAUUGGAAACUGGUCGACUUGAGUGCAGAAGAGGGAAGUGGAAUUCCAUGUGUAGCGGUGAAAUGCGUAGAUAUAUGGAGGAACACCAGUGGCGAAGGCGACUUUCUGGUCUAUUAUUGACGCUGAGGCUCGAAAGCAUGGGUAGCAAACAGGAUUAGA
This 259-nucleotide ribosomal RNA is filed under the name uncultured prokaryote. Its description in RNAcentral is "partial 16S ribosomal RNA". It matches the Rfam family "Bacterial small subunit ribosomal RNA", at positions 524 to 782 of the family's 1533-position model. The record is from RNAcentral.